UCGCAGCUCAACCCCUGACGCGCCAAGCCUCACUGUGACGGUGCCCAAGGGCGGCAAAGAAGGGUCCGCCGCCGCAACUCACCUCGGCACGGGCACGGAAGCACCCGAGCACCACCACGUCGCGGCUCGAAUUGCAAACACCGACGGCAACGCUCGAAGCCCGGCUCCCGGCGGAAUCUUGAACCCCACGAAGACUUGACGAUCCUUAGCACCUGCAGUGGUGAAUUGGGCCGGCUAAACUCCCCCGGGAGACACCUACGAGCCACCGGUCUCGUCUCCGUCCUCGGGUGCCGCCGAAGCGCGUCUUCGGCACCGAAGGGGAGGAAAACGAGAGUGGGCUAUGCCCCUCUUGCAUUCCAUGGCUCCAUUUUUAUAGGCAGAAGCCCCCCUCGGCGUCCGGGCCCAGCCCCUCGCCGGUCGGUCCGGUCACAGCAAGAGGACAAGGCCAAGCCAACCAAGAGGCAGAAGGCACAGGGCAAAAGAGAUAAAGAGGGGAAGAAAAGCAAAAUAGGGGGGCGGCCCCGGCCGAGGGACCAGCUCCUAGCCGUUCUGGCCACGCUGCGCAACCGUCGGCGUCAUCCCGGUGACGGGCUCACCUGCAAAAGGAGAAAGGGGGACGAGCUCUUUUCCUCACCCUGUACGAAGGAGGAAGAUAUAGGGCUUCGGCCUCCCCAUCACCGUCCGAUCUCUCCACUUGAAGUCAACGAACCGGUAUACAGGCCAGAAGGCGACGUGGGCCUCGGCCCAACAACGAGCGCGAAAUAAAAAAAAAGAAAUAAAAAGGAGCAGCCCAGGAACACACCCAGGCGUGGCAGAGCGGGGGUUUUCUUUCAGAAACAACCCCCAAGACGCAGAAAAUUGCAAGCUGCCCCCGGGCGGCUCAAACAUUCGCGCAGGGACCCUCGGAAAAUCCGAAAUUUUCAAGCACGUCCCUGCAGCAUAAUUACCUUGCAAAAGGAGUCCCCCGGCCUCGAAAUUUUGCAAGGAAGACCUCGGAAGUAUCUGUUUCUUCGAAAUAGACCUCACGAUGGGCGAAACCUCGCGAAGGAACCCACC
Molecule: long non-coding RNA, 1056 nt
Filed under: Brachypodium distachyon (stiff brome)
Lineage: Eukaryota; Viridiplantae; Streptophyta; Magnoliopsida; Poales; Poaceae
Description: long non-coding RNA (BDIS_LNC000593)
Source: RNAcentral